UACGGAGGAUCCAAGCGUUAUCCGGAUUUAUUGGGUUUAAAGGGUGCGUAGGCGGCCUGUUAAGUCAGGGGUGAAAGACGGUGGCUCAACCAUCGCAGUGCCUUUGAUACUGACGGGCUUGAAUGCAGCUGAGGUAGGCGGAAUGUGACAAGUAGCGGUGAAAUGCAUAGAUAUGUCACAGAACACCAAUUGCGAAGGCAGCUUACUAAAGUGUGAUUGACGCUGAGGCACGAAAGCGUGGGGAUCAAACAGG
This 253-nucleotide ribosomal RNA is filed under the name uncultured bacterium. Its description in RNAcentral is "partial 16S ribosomal RNA". It matches the Rfam family "Bacterial small subunit ribosomal RNA", at positions 524 to 776 of the family's 1533-position model. The record is from RNAcentral.